GAAGAAUUGGUUCUUGCGCUUUCCUACGAUCUUACAGGCAUGUGAGAGUAUGAUUGAAAUGCUUAGAGGCCAAUAUGCUCAUUACGUUGGUUGUUACUAUGAAGCAACCUUCCAUUAUAUCGAAGCUGCAAAGCUUACAGAGAGCAAAUCAAUUCAAGCAAUGUGCCAAGUUUAUGCGGCUGUCUCUUAUAUCUGUAUUGGCGAUGCUGAAUCAUCUACACUCGC
RNAcentral lists this unclassified non-coding RNA (225 nucleotides) under Hevea brasiliensis (rubber tree). Lineage: Eukaryota; Viridiplantae; Streptophyta; Magnoliopsida; Malpighiales; Euphorbiaceae. The record is from RNAcentral.